This is a long non-coding RNA of Pogoniulus pusillus (Red-fronted tinkerbird), 850 nucleotides long. RefSeq lists it as uncharacterized. The transcript is spliced from 2 exons. Lineage: Eukaryota; Metazoa; Chordata; Aves; Piciformes; Lybiidae. The record is from RefSeq and is a predicted model, not a curated record.
ACUGGUGAAGGUUUUAAGUUUUACUUUGGUAGACAUUGUGCUCAUGGAAUAGUCUUUCUCAGUUGACCAAGAUCUACUUUGUUACAUCUUUGAGGAAUAACUCAGCUCAAAACUGAAGUUUACAACUCCACUUCUCCAUUUACCAUACAGGGAGCAUCACAUAAUGCUAAAUAUCUGUGCAGGUGUUUCCUUUCAACCCAUAGCUCAUCCUAAAAAAGACUCAAGAGGAAGCACCUGUGAACAUACAAGAUUUUAGACUUGCAGAUUAAAAGGAAGGACUAAUGGAUUUUGCAAUAAGCAUCUUUGUCUCCUAAGAAUUCUUGAGCAAGUUAACUCUUUUCUUUCCCAGACUCUUUAUAGGAUCAAGAAUCUCCUUUGUUUUGAGAUGCUAUCCAGAAUAAAGCCAAAUGCCUUCAAGCACUCUGGGUGCAUGUGUGUGUCUGGUUCUCAAAGUAAGGAGCUGACUUAAUGAUAUGAUUUAACUGUAGUAUGGCACAAGUACUCACCAGCUGCACAGGUUCUUCUGGUCACCUCGUAAGUCUUUGUUGGAAGAAAUGCUAUCUUGUCUACAUAGCUGAAGUUACUGAAGCACAUGGAAGACUAAAACCUUUCUGUAUGUUGAAUGUAUCAGCAAGAGGAGAGAGCUGCCAGUAGAGUGAAGAACAUCUGCAUUUCUAAAUCAUGGAAAUUAAUCACAGACUAGCUGACAUCAGAAAGCACCUCUAAAGGUCACCUAGCCUGUGUCCUACUCGGCAUGGGGUCUGCUAGAGCAGAUUGCUUCUAGACAUGAGCAGUUGAGUCUGGAAUUCAUCCCAAUAGUGUGAGAAAAAUAAAUGUUAUGAAUUUUUAA